RNAcentral lists this small RNA (39 nucleotides) under Arabidopsis thaliana (thale cress). RNAcentral's name for it is "ATSL298930". Lineage: Eukaryota; Viridiplantae; Streptophyta; Magnoliopsida; Brassicales; Brassicaceae. The record is from RNAcentral.
UUUCCAUUUAGCAGCACCUUAGGAUGGCAUAAUAGCCUU